CGUCCACCCAUAGACCCCUUCUUAUUCUGUCCCCGCUGCACGCCGUGCCCCUAGACUGCUGGGCGCAGGACCCCCACCGCAGGCCCGACUUCGCCUCCAUCCUGCAGCAGUUGGAGGCGCUGGAGGCACAGGUCCUACGGGAAAUGCCGCGGGACUCCUUCCAUUCCAUGCAGGAAGGCUGGAAGCGCGAGAUCCAGGGUCUCUUCGACGAGCUGCGAGCCAAGGAAAAGGAACUACUGAGCCGCGAGGAGGAGCUGACGCGAGCGGCGCGCGAGCAGCGGUCACAGGCGGAGCAGCUGCGGCGGCGCGAGCACCUGCUGGCCCAGUGGGAGCUAGAGGUGUUCGAGCGCGAGCUGACGCUGCUGCUGCAGCAGGUAGACCGCGAGCGACCGCACGUGCGUCGCCGCCGCGGCACAUUCAAGCGCAGCAAGCUCCGGGCGCGCGACGGCGGCGAGCGCAUCAGCAUGCCACUCGGUGAGGGGCGGGCCCCGGGGCGUCCCCCGCCAUUGGCUGCGGGGGUGGGGGUGGAGCCAGGCCUGUGUGCUGACCGCGCUGGGAUUGGUUUAGGGUGUUGUGGUU
Molecule: small RNA, 579 nt
Filed under: Pongo abelii (Sumatran orangutan)
Lineage: Eukaryota; Metazoa; Chordata; Mammalia; Primates; Hominidae
Description: retained intron
Source: RNAcentral